RNAcentral lists this long non-coding RNA (1405 nucleotides) under Homo sapiens (human). RNAcentral's name for it is "HSALNT0165491". Lineage: Eukaryota; Metazoa; Chordata; Mammalia; Primates; Hominidae. The record is from RNAcentral.
CAUAAGUUCAAUAAAUAUUUGCUUUUUUCAUUGCAGAACAAUUGGAAACACAGGUUACAUUACCAACAUUUUGACUGGGAUGUCAUAUUUUCAAGUAUAACCAUACUGCUUUAAGGAAUUAAGGCCAACUUUAAAGAGCCAUUGAAGCUCUUAGAAGAACCCUCCUGAGACCUUGUUUCCACGAUUCCCUUUCAAGGUUUCUAGCCUUGGGUCCAGAAGCCACUGGGAUUCCUGGAGUGUUUUCGGAGCAGUGAGUACCACAGACUUUAGCAAGCACACUGGAUGAGAAUCCAACAGUGACCUUGCUUGAGGAAGAUGAACAACGCUUCAGACAGCAUGUCAAAUAGAUUCAAGUUUUAAGAAAUCAGGAAGAAACCAUCUUGGAAAACAAAUAUUGAAACUAGAACAAGACUGUAAAAUAAACAGGAAGGACUUAAAGUUUAUGAAAUAGAAAAAGAUAAUAUAAACGAUCAAUAUAACUAAAAGCUAGUCUUCAAAAGGACAGAGCCACAUUUCUGAGAAAGCUUCCUGACUGGAAUAAUAAAUUGUGCUUGAAAAACAUAGAAACAGAGGAGAGGGCAAGGUUACUGCUGAAAUGGAAAACUAAGUGACACAUGGCUUGAAAACUCUCAGAAUCACUGGCAUUCCCUGGUCAAGUUGAGUGGAACAAAUCACUCCCCAAACAAAAUGAAGUUUUGACUCUAUAGAGCCAAUGGAUGUGGACCCUGGACUUAGAAAGAGAUUUGUAAACAAACCAGAGAACACCGAAGAGCUGCUCCUUCGCACUGAAAUGGUUUGCUGGCUUUCUGCCUAGAUCCGACAUCUCUUCAAAUGGACAGUCCCAACUCUCCUUCUCUCACUUCUCUUCCCCCUUCUCUGUAAGUCACAAAUGCUGCAUUUGGAGGAACUUCAUUUUAACUAGGAUAAACAUCACAUAAUAAAUGAUGCAUUUUUUCUCAUAAAGCAAACCAUUUAUCAAUGUUUUUAGUAAUUGUUUGUGUUGGAGCCCUUGGUGGAAGUCUUAUGAUCUAUAGUGUCCAUUGAGGCUUCCAUUUAAAGGGGGGCAGAGACAAUGCCAAAGUUGAUACAAGGGAUGAUGGGGAGAUAAGCUCUCGAGGCCUAUAUAUUAUCCGCCCGCAGUGUUGGGAGGGCCACAGGAAGGAUGGUGAUUAUUCUAUUUGGCAAGCCAAUUGUCUGUCUUUGGAAAAUGAUAGGAUGAAGAGUGGAGUCAAAAAUAAUACCUUUCUCGAUGCCCAGAUAUAAAUGAGCUAUUUACAAUCCCUCCUGCCUUUUAGGUUUGGGUUUUAUUUUUCCUCUGCACAAUAGAUUAAACCUUCAAGGAGGUUUGUAGUAAAAGAGGAGGAAACUAUGAAAAACACCACAUACUUGCAGACACCUGCAAGCA